RNAcentral lists this ribosomal RNA (322 nucleotides) under uncultured Rhogostoma. RNAcentral's name for it is "SSU rRNA". The stretch from base 105 to 322 matches the Rfam family "Eukaryotic small subunit ribosomal RNA", at positions 736 to 955 of the family's 1831-position model. Lineage: Eukaryota; Cercozoa; Thecofilosea; Cryomonadida. The record is from RNAcentral. RNAcentral also lists the same sequence under 1 other name.
GAUUUCUGGUUUAAUGCACCUGGCCCGCGGCCACUAGGCUUGUGAGUGCCGGCGCGCGUUUACCAUCCUUCUAGAAAACGAUUCUGCCAUUCACUUGGUUGGGAUCGCGAUCUAGAUCUUUUACUUUGAAAAAAUUAGAGUGUUUAAAGCAGGCUUUUGCUAUGAAUACAUUAGCAUGGAAUAAUAAUCUAGGACUUCGGUUCUAUUUUGUUGGUUUCUAUAACUGAAGUAAUGAUUGAUAGGGAUAGUUGGGGGUGCUAGUAUUGGCCGGCCAGAGGUGAAAUUCUUGGAUUCGGUCAAGACUAACUUAUGCGAAAGCAUU